RNAcentral lists this ribosomal RNA (460 nucleotides) under uncultured bacterium. Its description in RNAcentral is "partial 16S ribosomal RNA". It matches the Rfam family "Bacterial small subunit ribosomal RNA", at positions 338 to 795 of the family's 1533-position model. The record is from RNAcentral.
CCUACGGGCGGCAGCAGUGAGGAAUAUUGGUCAAUGGACGAGAGUCUGAACCAGCCAAGUAGCGUGAAGGAUGACUGCCCUAUGGGUUGUAAACUUCUUUUAUAUGGGAAUAAAACGUUCCACGUGUGGGAUUUUGUAUGUACCAUAUGAAUAAGGAUCGGCUAACUCCGUGCCAGCAGCCGCGGUAAUACGGAGGAUCCGAGCGUUAUCCGGAUUUAUUGGGUUUAAAGGGAGCGUAGGUGGAUUGUUAAGUCAGUUGUGAAAGUUUGCGGCUCAACCGUAAAAUUGCAGUUGAAACUGGCAGUCUUGAGUACAGUAGAGGUGUGCGGAAUUCGUGGUGUAGCGGUGAAAUGCUUAGAUAUCACGAAGAACUCCGAUUGCGAAGGCAGUUCACUGGACUGCAACUGACACUGAGGCUCGAAAGUGUGGGUAUCAAACAGGAUUAGAUACCCCAGUAGUC